RNAcentral lists this ribosomal RNA (335 nucleotides) under uncultured bacterium. RNAcentral describes it as "bacterial SSU rRNA". It matches the Rfam family "Bacterial small subunit ribosomal RNA", at positions 1 to 334 of the family's 1533-position model. The record is from RNAcentral.
CUAGCGACUUCAGAGUUUGAUCCUGGCUCAGGACGAACGCUGGCGGCGUGCCUAACACAUGCAAGUCGAACGGGGUGUUCCUUCGGGGACACUUAGUGGCGAACGGGUGAGUAACGCGUGAGAAACCUGCCUCUCAGUGGGGGACAACAGUUGGAAACGACUGCUAAUACCGCAUAAUGUCAUCGGGUCGCAUGAUCUGAUAACCAAAGCUUUAUGUGCUGAGAGAUGGUCUCGCGUCUGAUUAGCUAGAUGGCGGGGUAACGGCCCACCAUGGCGACGAUCAGUAGCCGGUCUGAGAGGAUGAACGGCCACAUUGGGACUGAGAUACGGCCCAG